RNAcentral lists this ribosomal RNA (455 nucleotides) under uncultured bacterium. RNAcentral describes it as "bacterial SSU rRNA". It matches the Rfam family "Bacterial small subunit ribosomal RNA", at positions 30 to 480 of the family's 1533-position model. The record is from RNAcentral.
AGUGAACGCUGGCGGCAGGCCUAACACAUGCAAGUCGAGCGGCAGCGCGUCCGACCACCCUCGGGUGGUCGGAUGGCGGCGAGCGGCGGACGGGUGAGGAAUGCAUCGGAAUCUGCCUCGUUGUGGGGGAUAACGUAGGGAAACUUACGCUAAUACCGCAUACGACCUACGGGUGAAAGUGGGGGACCUUCGGGCCUCACGCGAUGAGAUGAGCCGAUGCCGGAUUAGCUAGUUGGCGGGGUAAAGGCCCACCAAGGCGACGAUCCGUAGCUGGUCUGAGAGGAUGAUCAGCCACACUGGAACUGAGACACGGUCCAGACUCCUACGGGAGGCAGCAGUGGGGAAUAUUGGACAAUGGGGGCAACCCUGAUCCAGCCAUGCCGCGUGUGUGAAGAAGGCCUUCGGUUGUAAGACACUUUAGUUGGGUAAGGAAACCGGACCGGGUUAAGUAACCC